Long non-coding RNA from Notothenia coriiceps (black rockcod), 404 nucleotides. RefSeq lists it as uncharacterized. The record is from RefSeq and is a predicted model, not a curated record. NCBI's taxonomy places the organism in Eukaryota, Metazoa, Chordata, Actinopteri, Perciformes, Nototheniidae. The transcript is spliced from 4 exons.
UGCACGACGAGAGAAGAGUCAAGCAAAGAACGGAGCUACGAGAGAGAUUACCAUUAUCUAUUAUAUCGGUUCAGCAUCUUAAAAAGGUUUCAAAUAUCCCGUUUGAGGCUUUGAACUCCUACAUUUUCAUCAAUUACCGGAUCCAGAUCUCUAAGAGACAUUCACCUGAAAGAGAUGGCUGACAACCCGAAUGCCACAUCCACCUUGUACUCUUAUAUAAAGGAGAGCAACAACGUGACAAUCAACCACAACCAAACCUCAUCGUCGGAUGUCAAUGGGGCUGCUAGAGGGACCCAAGUCGAGGUCCCUCAGGAGCGAGUCAUAAGAGCUGGCUUGAGAUGUGAGGCUGGAUUUUCAGGUAAGAGUCAUGGCUCCUUCCAGUGACACCACCAAAACAAUUUAUU